GCAGGGAUGCCGGAGCGGAAAACGGGCAGGACUUAAGAUCCUGUGACUUAGUGUCUACGAGGGUUCAAAUCCCUCUCCCUGCA
RNAcentral lists this transfer RNA (83 nucleotides) under Nanobdellati archaeon. RNAcentral's name for it is "tRNA-Leu". It matches the Rfam family "tRNA". Rfam says of the family: Transfer RNA (tRNA) molecules are approximately 80 nucleotides in length. Their secondary structure includes four short double-helical elements and three loops (D, anti-codon, and T loops). Lineage: Archaea; Nanobdellati. The record is from RNAcentral.